UGUUAAUGCAAGUAAAAAGUAAAGAAAAAGGAAGAAUAUGGACCUGGGAGGUGCCAAAUAUAAGCUGGAGGGGAUUUCUGCUGUGGUUGGAAUGAAGAAAUGGUGUAUCGAAAUGUUGUACCUAUUGCCUAAGAAUCAAUCAGAAGUAUGAAGUUACAUCUCUAUUCACCAAAGUACCAGUCAAGGAUGGUCUUCGCAACUCACCCGGAGGGCUUGACGGAAUAUGUCUCAGGACUAGCAUAUUUUAACUGGAAAGGAGAAUUCUAUGAAAAGUACGAAGAUCACCUCUAUCACCAAUGAUCGCCAAUUUUUAUAUGGAAAUGUUUGAAGAGGAUCGUGAUUUUUGCAGCAUGGAAAAUAGCGACUCCAGGAGUUCCUACACCAACUAAAUUCACAACACUCCAUGAGUUACCAUGGAAUCGGAAUCUGCAAAAUAGUUGCCUUUCCUGGAUAUUCUGGUCAUUAGGAAGAUAGAUGGGGUAUGGAACUAGGAGUGUAUCGAAAGAAGACACAUACGAAUAGGUAGCUUAUUCCAGCGAACAGAGAGGAUUCCUACAAAAUGUACUGCAGAAGAACAACUAUACGAUGAGGGAUAUACAACGAGCCACUAAACUACGCAACCAGAAGGAA
This is a long non-coding RNA of Onthophagus taurus, 630 nucleotides long. RefSeq lists it as uncharacterized. NCBI's taxonomy places the organism in Eukaryota, Metazoa, Arthropoda, Insecta, Coleoptera, Scarabaeidae. The record is from RefSeq and is a predicted model, not a curated record.